UUUUUUUGUUUUGAUAUUUAAUGAGGAUUCAGCCAAGCAUUGUGUUCUGUGCUUUACAUUAUCUGAUUUAAUGCCCUGUGAUCUCAAGAGGAGGAAGUUAGCAUCAUCUUCAGUUUACAGGUAAGAAAACUGAGGUUCAUAGAAGAGGUUAAGUCCUUGCUCAGGGUUAUGUAGUUGGUAAACAGUGGAGCCUGGAUGUAAACGAGCAUGGAGCCCUUGUCAGGUCUAGAGUACCAGAGGACUCCGAGAACGUACUCACACGGGUGGCAAUCGGCUGCUCGGGACAUAUGUUGCGGUGGCAUGUAUAAGCUGAGGUGGCACAAUGUUACUGGGAUGAACAGGGAGGCUCAUGUACCUGGGAGGGUUGGUAAGGUGCCUUCAGACUGGCUGUGUAGGGAAACAGAACAGGAACUAGAGUCACGACGUGAACUUACAUUUAAAUAUCUCUUCCCAAAAGAGAACUGUUGGUUUAGUUCAUCACACUUAUAAUGACUAAUUAAAUGUCUGUUCACCCCAUAGGUUGUGGACUUUGCUCAACUUUUUUAUUGCUGCAUCUUCAACCCAUAAGACAAAGGCAGUUAAUGAAUAUUUACUGAAUAUUACAAACCCAUUUCCUUUUGAAAUUCUCUGACAUCUGUGAAACCACUCUCUGUAGAUUUUUCCCUCAACUUACUGGCUGCUCCUCACCAGUCUCUUCCGUGUUCCACUUUCUCCUGACCCUCUAUUGUUUCCCAGGUGUCUACCCUUAACAUACAUGUCAAUCUACUGUAUUUAUGUUCUAGGGGUUAGAAACUGCACCCAGUAGCAUUAACUAGCCUGUAAUUAUUGUCUCUAAAAUCUCUAGUUUAGUUUGAAUUUCUUUCCUGAGCAUGUAACUCUAUGUCCAACUUUUUCCUAGUAUAACUCCACUUUGGAGUCCCAUGGGUACCUCAAAAUCAAUAAAUCUUAUAUGCUCCAUAUGAACACACUAAGCCUCCUUAUUGAAACAUUUGUGUGUCUCUGUAGAUUUUUUUUUCUGCAGAUAUUUUUAUUCUAAAGGUAACAUUUAAAGCUUUCAAUAGAUAAUUUAAAAGGUCCAUGGCUCAAGAAAAGCUUAGAGCUACUGUGCAUUCUUCCUGAAGAUGGAACUCUUCCCUGAUCAUGAUCACAAUGGUUGGGGCAGAUACUCUGUGCAGACUUGCAAAUCCUGGCUAUUGUAGUACUUCUUAACCUCAGUCUCAUGCCUCUUGUGAGGAUAACACAAUCCCUUGGUUUACACAUAUGGCAGCUUGCUUUGCUGUGCUAUCAUUCAUCAUAUGCUUACCCUUCAUUCUGCUUUUAGGACUGGCCUUCCUGUUAGUUUUGGGCUCCUCUGUUAAACUGAAAUGAAUUGAGGCAAGGACAAACAUAGCCCAGGACAUGAAAAAGGGAAAAACUUAAAGACAGUGUAGACAGCCAUGUCUGGUGAUGCAGAAAUAGGAAGGAAAAUGAGAGAAGGGAGAAAGUAAUUAGAAGAAUUAGGAGAAUCGGUAACUUCUGAGAAAAUAACUUGAGAGGAAUUGUGGGAAAGGAAGACAGAUGACAAGGUGAUGGAAAGGAUAUAGAUAAUGAAGGGGAUGUGAAAAAUUCUAAAAUGCUAGAAGGGGCAGCAGUGAAAUUCCUGACUAUGGAGCCCAAGCUGAGAGAUGAAGGACUUGAAAAAUGUGGAGAAAGGGGUUAGAGUUCUGGUGAAGUUCAGGAGCAGUAACUUAGUAAGAGAGAGAGAGAGGAGAGAGCAGGAGACACUUGAAGAAGGUGAGCCCUAUGGUCAAAGUCUUGUGUUUGAUGCUUUCCUCAGUGAUGCUGAGGUGGUUCAAGUGCAUUAUUUUCGUGGCUGGGUUAGCAGAACAGAGAUUAAAUUGGGUAAGAGAGUAUGGGGCAGUGUGUAUGGUGGUUUUAAAAUGUGUGCAUAUUCUCUGAUAUUCUUCUCAUAAGAGGUGUGAUUGAAUACACUUCCCUUAAAAUAUGGGCUGGUCUCAGUGACUGGCUUCUAACGAUGCAGUGGAAGUGAUGCUGUGUAGCCUGUGAAGCCAGGUCAUAAAAGGCAGUGUAACUUCCAUCUGGCUCUCUUGAGAGAUGCUUGCUUUUGGAACCCAUUUACUAUGCUCUGAGGACCCAGGUCACAUAGAAGGAUCUACAGGGAGAGGCACUUAUAUUGUGAACCAACUCUCAGCCUGGGCUGAGCUCCCAGCUAAAUCCAGCUGUACUCUGGCAGUCCUGGAAGGAACCCUCCCAGAAGCCAAUCCUCAAGCCUUUGGUUGAACCAUCCAGGCUGAUGCCAUGUGGCACAGAGAGGAGCCUCAUCCUGUUGAUACCUGUCCAGAUUGUGGAUUUGUGAGGAAAAUGUAUGAUUAUUAUGUUUUAAGUCACUAAAGCUGGUGGUUUGUAUGCAGCUACAGAAAAGAGGAGUAGGGUUUUAGCAAGGUCAUCAACAGAGAUGUUUCUGUGUAUCAGUGUGGUCUAUGCAAAGAGCAAAGUUGUUGGACAUGGGAUGAUCUGAGUUCAGAUCUUUGAUUACCAUUUCUGAGCUCCAUUUGUCCUAUCUUUAAAGUGGAGAUGAUUUGGACCUCAGGGAUUACUGUGCGAUUUAGGAACAAUUGGUAUAAAGUCAGUAGCUGUUACGCGAUUGCCAUUGACAAAUGGCAGCUCUGUUUAUUGUUAGGGAAGCCUGGGAGGAGCUUGGGCUGUGGCAUCAGUUAUAUUUGUGUUUAUCUUCUGGUUCCAUUGCUAACUAAAUGUGUGGGCUUUUGGGCAAGUUAUGGAAGUUCUCUGAAUCAUGCAUUCUUCUUGUGUAAGAGGAGGAUGAAGCCUGCCUUCCAGGGUUGAUGGAAAUUAGAAUCUGUGUACAACAGAUUAGCAAUUGCAUAGUAACUGACUGGCACCUGGUAGGUACUCAACAAGUAGUAAUAUACUAAUUAUAAAUGUGAUAAUUAGUAUGCUAUCCCUGAAUUUAUGACUACUGGCCAGAGUAGGGCAGACUAGAAAAUUCUGACACAAGCACUGAAGCCUUGCAUGCAGUUGAAGGAAGGUUCUAGUAGAGACAGUAAUGAAAUUUCGGGAAGGAUGAUAUUAAUAAGUAGUAUAAGUUUCAAUAGAAGAAACUUUUGAAUGAUGAGAGUAAGAUAAAGACUUCAAAAAAGCAUUUAGAACAUCCUCUUUCUUCUAGUACUGAGAAUAGGAGGAAAUAGGCUUAGAAGAUUAGAAAAAAAUAAUGAGUUUCUAAAUACUAGAAAAGGCCACAAAACUCCACCACAAUGGAUCUGAAGUUCUGAGGGGACAAGUAAGAUGGAGAGACUGAAAGGAAAGUAAUAUGGUUGAUAAGCAGGAUUAGUUUUUAAGAAUUUCAGUAAAAAAGGGGGAGAUUUAAGUCUCUCCAUCAUUCAACAGACAACUCAUGGCCAUAGCUCUGUGUUCUUGUCUCUCGUAUUAGCCACACACUUCAGCUUGCAUAGGACUUGAGAUCCUCCACCUUUGGGCUGAAUCUCUCUCAAACUUUCUUAAAUGGGAAGUUAUUCUUUCCUCAAAAGAUUAUCAAUCAGUAAUUUACUAACUCAAUAUCUGGGAACCUGCAUCCCAAAGUCUUCCCAUGUCUAUUGACUUAAGUCUUUUCAGGAAUCUUGCCCUUUGAACAUGUCCCAUUCCAUAGUUAAUGGCUAUUGAACAUCUCUUUUGGCCUGGACAUAGUAACAAGGUAUACUUAACAGCUCCUGAGAAAGGUAUAUGUCAGCCUCUGGAAACAUUUUUUAAAAAUUAUUUUACCUAUCUAAUUAGCAUGAUGUAUUCAUCUGUCUUCUAUACCUUUGCUAUAAUAUCAUUUAUUCGUUUGGUAUUUACUGAGUAUCUACUAUGUACUAGCCACUGGUCUAGACCCCCUAUAUUCCUGGAACUUGUAAUCUGUGGUGGAGUGGCAGUGGUGAGAAGAUAGACAACAAACAAAUAGACCUGUCCUAGUAGAAAGAACAUCCAUGACAUACAAUAUAUCUUAAUUAGCUACCUGCACAGAACUCUUAUGUGCCUAAGUAAGUGCAGGUGUUGGGUAUAUUAAUGGGAAGGGGAGCCUGGGUCCCUGAGUUGGUUAAGCAUCCAGCUCUUGGUUUCAGCUCAGGUCAUGAUCUCAGGGUCAUGAGAUUGAGCCUUGUGUCGGGCUCCACACUCAGUGUAGCAUUGGCUUGAGAUGCUUUCCCUCUGCCCCUCCCCCCACUGGCAUACAACCUCUCUUUCUCUCAAAUACAAUCUCAAAGAGAGAGAGAGAGAGAGAAAGGAAAGCCUAAGUGGCCUGGAAUGCUGACUGCCAUCCUGCCUGUCCAUACUGUACACUCAGAUCCAUUGGAGUACAAGCCGGUCUUACUUCCCUGACUUAAUCUUGGACCAUCCACAAGCAACUUCCCAGACCCUACUAGAAUUCUUCUCUCUUCUUUCUCCUUUCUAUCCCAUACAUGGUACUGGGUUUCAAGGAGCCAAGGUAUGGGUCUGUUCAAGUCUCUGAGACAGCACCGUAAUGAAGGUCCCUGAAAGUUUCUCCAGAGAGUAAUGAUACCCAAAAUGCCACCUGCAAUGAGAUAAGAAGCUUGUUGUGCCAGAAUAGAGAUCAGUGCUUUGUGUCCCCUAUAAAGAAAAAUCUCAGCUGAACUAUAUGGUUUUCUAAGUGAUUUACUGGAUUUGCAUUCUAAUGUUGGAUUCCUAUCUUGUCACAGAUUGGGAACAAAUAAUUUGUAGACAGGUCUGUGGGCCACACUUUGAGUAGCUUGCUCUUAAGCGUAAAUUGCAAAUUAGGGAACCAUGUUCCUGUACCUGGUCUGCACACUGUUG
RNAcentral lists this long non-coding RNA (4827 nucleotides) under Canis lupus familiaris (dog). Its description in RNAcentral is "lncRNA (ENSCAFG00000056434.1)". Lineage: Eukaryota; Metazoa; Chordata; Mammalia; Carnivora; Canidae. The record is from RNAcentral.